CAAAUUUUAUUCUGUAAACUACUUUAAAUAAUGUCUUGUAUGCUUCUUUAUAUCAAUAUUGUGUUAUAUGGAAAAAAUGAUCCACAAACUACAAAAAGAAAAUGAGAAAAACAAUGCAGAGGAGAACAUACUUUGAUGGAGCAAAUGGAGUAUAGAGAAUACAUAGCUCCACAAACGCACAAAGAGCUAGAAUGCCUCCCC
RNAcentral lists this long non-coding RNA (201 nucleotides) under Cicer arietinum (chickpea). Its description in RNAcentral is "long non-coding RNA (CARI_LNC002738)". The record is from RNAcentral. Lineage: Eukaryota; Viridiplantae; Streptophyta; Magnoliopsida; Fabales; Fabaceae.